CGCUAUCACUCCUACGGGAGGCAGCAGUGGGGAAUAUUGCACAAUGGGGGAAACCCUGAUGCAGCCAUGCCGCGUGUGUGAAGAAGGCCUUCGGGUUGUAAAGCACUUUCAGUAGGGAGGAACGGUAGUGUAGUUAACACCUGCAUUAUUUGAACGUUACCUACAGAAGAAGCACCGGCUAACUCCGUGCCAGCAGCCGCGGUAAUACGGAGGGUGCGAGCGUUAAUCGGAAUUACUGGGCGUAAAGCGCAUGCAGGCGGCCUGUUAAGUCAGAUGUGAAAGCCCGGGGCUUAACCUCGGAAUUGCAUUUGAAACUGGCAGGCUAGAGUCUUGUAGAGGGGGUAGAAUUUCAGGUGUAGCGGUGAAAAUGCGUAGAGAUCUGAAGGAAUACCAGUGGCGAAGGCGGCCCCCUGGACAAAGACUGACGCUCAGAUGCGAAAGCGUCGGGGAGCAAACAGGAUUAGAUACCCUGGUAG
This 476-nucleotide ribosomal RNA is filed under the name uncultured bacterium. RNAcentral's name for it is "bacterial SSU rRNA". It matches the Rfam family "Bacterial small subunit ribosomal RNA", at positions 328 to 793 of the family's 1533-position model. The record is from RNAcentral.